RNAcentral lists this ribosomal RNA (496 nucleotides) under uncultured soil bacterium. RNAcentral describes it as "bacterial SSU rRNA". It matches the Rfam family "Bacterial small subunit ribosomal RNA", at positions 94 to 633 of the family's 1533-position model. The record is from RNAcentral.
AGUGGCGGACUGGUGAGUAACACAUGGGUAACCUACCCCGAAGUGAGGAAUACCGGCGAGAAGUCGCCAACAAUACCGCAUAUGCCGCGAGCAAAGUCGCGCUUGGGGAUGGGCCUGUGGCCGAUUAGCUGGUUGGUGGGGUAAUGGCCUACCAAGGCGACGAUCGGUAGCUGGACUGAGAGGAUGAUCAGCCACAUUGGGAUUGAGAACGGCCCAGACUCCUACGGGAGGCAGCAGUGAGGAAUUUUCCGCAAUGGACGCAAGUCUGACGGAGCAACGCCGCGUGCAGGACGAAGGUCUUCGGAUCGUAAACUGCUUUUCUCGGGGAUGAAUGACGGUACCCGAGGAAUCAGCCUCGGCUAACUACGCGCCAGCAGCCGCGGUAAUACGUAGGAGGCGAGUGUUGUCCGGAGUUACUGGGCGUAAAGCGCACGCAGGCGGUCUGUUAGGUUCACGGUGACAGUCAUCAGCUUAACUGGUGAAGUGUCGUGAAAAC